GUAAUACUCCCUCCAUCACAAAAUUCUCGUCUUAGACUUGUGAAGAUACGGAUGCACCUAAUACUAAAACGUGACUUGAUACAUCUAUAUUUAGAAAAAAUCUAAGACAAGAAUUUUGGGACGGAGGGAGUAUGAU
This is a non-coding RNA of Triticum aestivum (bread wheat), 136 nucleotides long. Lineage: Eukaryota; Viridiplantae; Streptophyta; Magnoliopsida; Poales; Poaceae. The record is from Rfam.